Molecule: ribosomal RNA, 250 nt
Filed under: uncultured bacterium
Lineage: Bacteria
Description: partial 16S ribosomal RNA
Rfam family: Bacterial small subunit ribosomal RNA
Source: RNAcentral
UACGUAGGUGGCAAGCGUUGUCCGGAUUUACUGGGCGUAAAGAGCGCGCAGGCGGCUGGUCAAGUCCAACGUGAAAUCUCCCGGCUUAACUGGGAACCCGCGUCGGAAACUGAUCGGCUUGAAGGUGGGAGAGGGUAGCGGAAUUCCCGGUGUAGUGGUGAAAUGCGUAGAUAUCGGGAGGAACACCAGUGGCGAAGGCGGCUACCUGGCCCACUCUUGACGCUGAGGCGCGAAAGCUAGGGGAGCAAAC